RNAcentral lists this ribosomal RNA (739 nucleotides) under Bacillus sp. ZA(2010). Its description in RNAcentral is "bacterial SSU rRNA". It matches the Rfam family "Bacterial small subunit ribosomal RNA", at positions 37 to 758 of the family's 1533-position model. Lineage: Bacteria; Bacillati; Bacillota; Bacilli; Caryophanales; Bacillaceae. The record is from RNAcentral.
UGGCGGCGUGCCUAAUACAUGCAAGUUGAGCGGACAGAUGGGAGCUUGCUCCCUGAUGUUAGCGGCGGACGGGUGAGUAACACGUGGGUAACCUGCCUGUAAGACUGGGAUAACUCCGGGAAACCGGGGCUAAUACCGGAUGGUUGUCUGAACCGCAUGGUUCAGACAUAAAAGGUGGCUUCGGCUACCACUUACAGAUGGACCCGCGGCGCAUUAGCUAGUUGGUGAGGUAACGGCUCACCAAGGCGACGAUGCGUAGCCGACCUGAGAGGGUGAUCGGCCACACUGGGACUGAGACACGGCCCAGACUCCUACGGGAGGCAGCAGUAGGGAAUCUUCCGCAAUGGACGAAAGUCUGACGGAGCAACGCCGCGUGAGUGAUGAAGGUUUUCGGAUCGUAAAGCUCUGUUGUUAGGGAAGAACAAGUGCCGUUCAAAUAGGGCGGCACCUUGACGGUACCUAACCAGAAAGCCACGGCUAACUACGUGCCAGCAGCCGCGGUAAUACGUAGGUGGCAAGCGUUGUCCGGAAUUAUUGGGCGUAAAGGGCUCGCAGGCGGUUUCUUAAGUCUGAUGUGAAAGCCCCCGGCUCAACCGGGGAGGGUCAUUGGAAACUGGGGAACUUGAGUGCAGAAGAGGAGAGUGGAAUUCCACGUGUAGCGGUGAAAUGCGUAGAGAUGUGGAGGAACACCAGUGGCGAAGGCGACUCUCUGGUCUGUAACUGACGCUGAGGAGCGAAA